UGAAAAAUGGGGAUUUUGGGGGAAAAUGGGGGGUUUUUAUAAUGGAAAAUGGGGAUUUGGGGGAAAAUGGGGAUUUUUGAGAAUGAAAAAAUGGGGAUUUGGGGCAAAAAUGGGGAAUUUUGAGAAAUAAAAAUGGGAAUUUGUGGCAAAAAUGAGAUUUUUGAGAAAGGAAAAAUGGAGAUUUGGGGGGAAAAUGGGGAUUUUUGGGAAAUAAAAAUGUGCAUUUUGGGGGAUUUUUGUAAUGGAAAAUGGGGAUUUGGGGUGAAAAUGGGGAUUUUUGAGAAUGAAAAAUGGGGAUUUGGGGCAAAAAUGGGGAUUUCUGAGAAUAAAAAAGGGGGAUUUGGGUGUAAAAUGGGGAUUUUGAGAAUGAAAAAUGGGGAUUUGGGGCAAAAAUUUGGAUUUUGAGAAUGAAAAAUGGGGGGUUGGGGUAAAAAUGGGGGGGGGUGAGGAAUAAAAAUGUGCGUUUUGGGGAAAAAUGGUGGUUU
This 485-nucleotide long non-coding RNA is filed under the name Phasianus colchicus (ring-necked pheasant). RNAcentral describes it as "lncRNA (ENSPCLG00000013972.1)". Lineage: Eukaryota; Metazoa; Chordata; Aves; Galliformes; Phasianidae. The record is from RNAcentral.